AUUCCGUGAGGUCUGAGUCAGGAGAGGACACCGAUGUUUCCUAGGUGCCUCUCGGUGCCAGGCCUCUGCACCCUGCCGGGCACUGUCUCCCCCAGACACCCGGCCCUGCAUUUCCCCAUUUCACAGAUGGAGACACUGAGGCUGAAGGGAGCCUGGCUCCAGGCCGUGCGGGGGCUUCAGCACCAGGGGCAUCAGCUGCUUACCGGGGAAGCCUCGGGACAACCACCGGCUCCCGGCCCCUGCCUGGAGCUAACUGUUCCAGCGCCCAGCUCCUCACAGUGUGGGGGGGUCAGCUGGGCAGCACGGGGCGGGCAGAGUCCGGAGAGGAGGGCCAGGCAGCAACACUGGAAGGCUGGGUGCUGGGGUGGGUACCGGAAGCCCUCACGUGGCUCUCUCGGGUCCACGGCCUCCCAUAAAAUGGGAAGAGAGGAGCCACCAGCCACAGAACCUUCCCGGCACACGGGGAGAACCUGUGCACGGCGGGAUCCGUCCCAGGAGCCGCAGGGAUCGGCCACAGCAUCCCAGCCCUGGCGUCAGCCCCAACCUCGCCUGACUGGAGAGGGUGCGCCCCUCCCGGCCCCUCCCCUCCGUGCCCUCUCCAGACGCCGCCCGUCCUGCAAGAAGGCGAUGUGUUUUAUCGGGGGCAUUUAUUAUCGACAAUUGCCUCAUGAAUCUCCCUCUAUACACAUGCAUAUACAUAAGAGGUGGGUAAGUAUGCAGGGAAAAGCCACCGAGCCCAAUCUCACUGAUGGAGUCAACUUGCCCCCAUAAAGAUAACGGGAAAUGAUUCAUAAUAUUUAUUUGACAGACAUGAUAUGAACCGUAAUAGCCUGUUGGGAUUAAAAAUAUCCGUACGUCUCUGUCAUCCACCAAUGUGGUUUAAAUAUUAUAUAUGUGGCCACUGGGGCAACGGGGAGCUGGGAGCGGUUAUUGAUAGCGGCCGUAAAAAGGAGUCGUUUUGCACUGAAGGAUGGGGAAAGUAACCGAGGAGUUGGCCCCAGUGCUCCUUGGGGCUCGCAUCGAAAGAACCUGCACUUGAGAGGACGCUCCCCACCCCCCAGACUGCCAGCACCCGGGGGCUCGGCCGGUGGCAGUGGUGUCACGGGAGGGCCAGCCCCAGCUCCAGGCUGCAGCGCAGGGUCCCCACAGGGGAGGCCAUCGAAAGCCCAGGCCCCACCCUCUCUGGCCGGAGACCCCCACAGGUCAGCCUGUCCCCAGCCUCCACCCAGCAGAAGAGAGCAUCAGCCCCCUCCCCGCCACCCUGUGAGUCAGUCACUCCCCUGCUUAAAAACUCUUCCAAGCUCCCCACUGCCUUCGGGUAAAGUCCAAACUCCUAAGAGAACUUCAGCCCUUCCCACGAGCCACACCCCACCCCCCAGGCCGGCAGCAGGGCAAGACUGCUGCUCUGGACCACGGUCCCCAGCUGGCCACCCCACAGCACACUCCAAGGCCCAGCUCCGACGGGCCCCUCUCAGCAGUUUGCAGACCACCCUCCCCCAGCACGCACAGCCCCCAAGCCUGGCUGGGGCUUCUCUGUGCCCCACGGCAACCUGCACCCCGUGUGCCUCCGUGUGGCCUGUUUCCUUGAUAUUCCCAAGGCCAGGGACCCAGGAUCGGCAGCUUUCCAUUCCUCCCACGGAAAGUCCCCCCAUGGUCACCAAGGGGGGGUGGGGAGGACACCAUUUUAAAGGGGCCUGGGCCCUGCCGUGGCCACGCAAUGGCUCCUCCUCCAAGCCCUGGGGGUGGGCCUCAGGAUCCUCGUUUAUUGUCCACCUAGGUCCUCCUAGACUUAAGAGAAGUAUUUCUCUCCCAGGACUUCGGUUUACCUCUCAGUACAGCGACCCUUCAGCAUGGGGAUGUCAAGGCCCCUUGAAUACCUCACAGGAAGCCUUUUAGGGUUUGCUUUGGGAAGUGCCCAUGGGCAUUGUCACCGAGAAAACCAAACCGAGAAAACCUCGGGGAGGGUUAACCCCCUCCACCACCACCCUACCUCACCCCACCCGCCUGGCCCCCAGCCCUAUCAGGGAGCCCGGACCCCAGGCUGAUGAAUUACCGGCUCCUGGUGACAAUGGGCCUUUGUUUGUCCCACUAAUGAGGGUCCCAGCUCCCUAAAGGAGCAGCCUCUGGGCUGAGACACCGGCAGGAGGGGCGGGGCAGUCCUGGAAAUGAGGUCACCCGGGAGGAGGGGCCGGGGCCCCACUGCACACAGUGCCUGGGGGUCUGCGCCCUGGGAGAGGAGAGACGGACCGAUGGGAAAGAUUGUCUUCGGGGUCAUAAACUAUUUCCACGGACGAGUGACCUAGGAAACACACACGCACCAGUGUGCCUUUGGACGAGACACCCUCCUACCCCUCCCUCCCCACUCCAGCAUCGAGGUGGACAUGAGAUUGGAGAAAUGAAUACGGCAGGUGGAACAGACGGAAACCCGCAGAAAGGAAUGAAAUAAAGAGAAGUCAAUGAAACA
This is a long non-coding RNA of Felis catus (domestic cat), 2464 nucleotides long. RefSeq lists it as uncharacterized. The record is from RefSeq and is a predicted model, not a curated record. The transcript has 3 exons. Lineage: Eukaryota; Metazoa; Chordata; Mammalia; Carnivora; Felidae.